GAUGAACGCUGGCGGCGUGCUUAACACAUGCAAGUCGAACGAUGAAGCCCAGCUUGCCGGGUGGAUUAGUGGCGAACGGGUGAGUAACACGUGAGUAACCUGCCCUUAACUCUGGGAUAAGCCUGGGAAACUGGGCCUAAUACCGGAUAGGAGCGUCCACCGCAUGGUGGGUGUUGGAAAGAUUUAUCGGUUUUGGAUGGACUCGCGGCCUAUCAGCUUGUUGGUGAGGUAAUGGCUCACCAAGGCGACGACGGGUAGCCGGCCUGAGAGGGUGACCGGCCACACUGGGACUGAGACACGGCCCAGACUCCUACGGGAGGCAGCAGUGGGGAAUAUUGCACAAUGGGCGCAAGCCUGAUGCAGCGACGCCGCGUGAGGGAUGACGGCCUUCGGGUUGUAAACCUCUUUCAGUAGGGAAGAAGCGAAAGUGACGGUACCUGCAGAAGAAGCACCGGCUAACUACGUG
Molecule: ribosomal RNA, 466 nt
Filed under: uncultured bacterium
Lineage: Bacteria
Description: partial 16S ribosomal RNA
Rfam family: Bacterial small subunit ribosomal RNA
Source: RNAcentral